This 515-nucleotide ribosomal RNA is filed under the name uncultured bacterium. RNAcentral's name for it is "bacterial SSU rRNA". It matches the Rfam family "Bacterial small subunit ribosomal RNA", at positions 994 to 1509 of the family's 1533-position model. The record is from RNAcentral.
AACUUAGCAGAGAUGCUUUUGGUGCCUUCGGGAACUCUGAGACAGGUGCUGCAUGGCUGUCGUCAGCUCGUGUUGUGAAAUGGUUGGUUAAGUCCGCAACGAGCGCAACCCUUAUCCUUUGUUGCCAGCGGUUCGGCCGGGAACUCAAAGGAGACUGCCGGUGAUAAACCGGAGGAAGGUGGGGAUGACGUCAAGUCAUCAUGGCCCUUACGGCCAGGGCUACACACGUGCUACAAUGGCGCAUACAAAGAGAAGCGACCUCGCGAGAGCAAGCGGACCUCAUAAAGUGCGUCGUAGUCCGGAUUGGAGUCUGCAACUCGACUCCAUGAAGUCGGAAUCGCUAGUAAUCGUAGAUCAGAAUGCUACGGUGAAUACGUUCCCGGGCCUUGUACACACCGCCCGUCACACCAUGGGAGUGGGUUGCAAAAGAAGUAGGUAGCUUAACCUUCGGGAGGGCGCUUACCACUUUGUGAUUCAUGACUGGGGUGAAGUCGUAACAAGGUAAGCGUAGACGU